GAGGUUUGAGGUUAAGCUCCCUCAUGCUAAGUAUUGUUUGUGUGUUUGUCUAGACUAGGGCGAGUGAUUGUUAUGCUUUGAGUCUAGAUGUGCGUGGAGGUUAGAGGUGGAGCUCCCUCACGCUUGUUGCUUGUUUGUGUGGCAUCUAGACAAAAGCAUGGGCCAUCUCGGGGUUAGAUUAGGGAAAGCCUAAUUCUCCGAAGGUGUUCGAGACCAUGGAGUUAGAUUGGGCGAUACCCAAUUCUCUAGUGGUGGAGUGAUCUACUCUCCAUGGCUUGUCACAUGAAGUGGGUCGCGCCCAUGGACAAGCGCUGCAUGACGAUGCGGCCCGGGUUAGAUUGGGAGAAGCCUAAUUCCCG
This 359-nucleotide long non-coding RNA is filed under the name Brassica rapa (field mustard). Its description in RNAcentral is "long non-coding RNA (BRAP_LNC008166)". Lineage: Eukaryota; Viridiplantae; Streptophyta; Magnoliopsida; Brassicales; Brassicaceae. The record is from RNAcentral.